GCAGCGCUGGUUGACCGGCCGGUGCGGCGUGGACGGACGGUCCGCGCCGCACCGCCCGCGUGUUCAACGGCCCUGUUCGGACGGGGGUGCUGCCC
Molecule: transfer RNA, 95 nt
Filed under: Streptomyces galbus
Lineage: Bacteria; Bacillati; Actinomycetota; Actinomycetes; Kitasatosporales; Streptomycetaceae
Description: tRNA-Val
Source: RNAcentral